CGUAUAUUUGAUCUUCUGGAUUUCGGAAAAUGCCCUUCGCUGAAUCGUUACUGGCAAUCCUCGUCCUCGGACUGGCUUUCCUCUGUACGACUGUCUUUGGGGAAUUGGAAUUAUCCGUUUCCAAGGCAAAAUUAACCCUCGGUUUUUGGGUCAGAGUUCCGUUUUUUGUGACCGAGAUGGUUUCAUUAUCCUCUGGAACUUCGACUAUCUUUGGCGAAAGAUUGGACCCGGUUGGGUCCACACGCCUUUGGAACUCGGGGCUUUCUCUGCCUGUACGACCCCCGUUCGAUGAGCUAUCCGAUGCAGAUCUGUGGCUUCUUGACUGGGAAACACACUGACUCCGUUCUUCAGAGGUCAGGGUUCAGGUAGGGAGCAUGUGGAUUAAGCUUUGGAAAGCCGGAGGUCUGGUGACUGAAUACCAAUUGCGUAGCUUCCUCCUGGGCUGCAGCAUGCAACCGCUUUUCAUCAUCUCGGAAGUCCAUUUCUUCCAAAGCUUGCCGUAACGACCGUGCUUCCUCCCGUUCCAUCCAUCUCUGGCCCCGUACUCUGUAUGUUCCCGUCGUCGACCUAACACUCGCUGCUGGAGAGAGACUUCUUGAUAAAUCAUACGAUUGUUCCGGCUCUUCUUCCAACGAUUGUUCAGUAGAUACACUUCCAUUGGAAAGUGUUGAGUUUUUUCUGUGGUGUGAUAGAGCACUCGCUGAGCGCUGAUAGGGCUCGAGGGAGCAAACACGAUGGUUUUCUGAGUCAAUGUUCAUGGAAAGUGCUGACGAUGCACGGGGCGGUAGAUCGCUCCUGAGUCUUUGGCUCGAUGAGAUGUCCUUGGUAGGAAAGGGUCGAGAUCCAUUGGGACGGGGGGGCCUAUUGGUUCGUAGGUCCUUCAGAUACGUCGCUAUUUGGUAAGAAACAGGUUAGCAUUCGUGGCUAGGUAGCUCCUUAACUGGAGCGUAGGGGACAUGCGAAGAUAUAAACAACCGCUAUCUCAUGUGGAUACAAUGCCCAUAGCUAUGGUAAGCUGGGAGGGGAACGAGAAUGAAGGACUACCGACCAAUCUGUUCCUCAUUCAUGUAACUUGGCCCUGGAGGUGAGACUUUUCGGGUCCCGUGUUUGGACCUUGAGUGUAUCAUGGUUGCUGGUAGUCUUCACUGAUAGUUGCCCUUAAUAGGGUGAGACCAGAUUAUACUAAACAAUGACGAUAUUGGGAACUAUUGAAGGCGUAAUGGUGGUUUAUAAUAUAUGGCUGGCUGACUGGGAGAUGAAGAGAACAGCGCUUGGUUGGUAGAGUAAAGCUCCGCAGAGAGCAAAUAUAUAUAAUUGUUGAAUAUGAAGGUUGU
This 1334-nucleotide small RNA is filed under the name Histoplasma capsulatum. Its description in RNAcentral is "hypothetical RNA". RNAcentral also lists the same sequence under 1 other name. The record is from RNAcentral. Lineage: Eukaryota; Fungi; Ascomycota; Eurotiomycetes; Onygenales; Ajellomycetaceae.